Corticium candelabrum is the source of this 246-nucleotide long non-coding RNA. RefSeq lists it as uncharacterized. Lineage: Eukaryota; Metazoa; Porifera; Homoscleromorpha; Homosclerophorida; Plakinidae. The transcript is spliced from 4 exons. The record is from RefSeq and is a predicted model, not a curated record.
UAACUAAAAGUAUAAAGUGGGACUGUUACAUGUAACAGGAUCCUCCGGGUCAUCCUGGCGUCCAAGGUCCUCCUGGACAAAGAGGCCACAAAGGAGAACGAGGAUUUUCUGGCUUUAAAGGAGAACAAGGACCUCAGGGUAUUGCCGGUCCAGAGAUGACUGAUGCUACUCUUCAACGAUAUUUUAAGCCCGUUAAAACUUUGCAAAAUGAGGUUGAAAACUUGAGAAACAAAUUUGAAACAAUCA